AGUCACUAAACAACUAAGAUAUAUCUUUAAGAUAUGAAUAAUUUUAUUAUUGAUUCUCGUGAUAAACCUCUUAUCUAUAAAAAACGAUCCGGUUCUCCAAUUAUGGAAUCUCCGAAAAUGCGAAAGCGGCUUAAACGCAAAAACGAUUCAAAUAUUGAUGCAUUACAUGGCAUUCCAACUAAGAAAGUAAAAUAUGAAUAGUUUACAGAACACUGGCACGCGAAUUCAUAUAUAUGAGAACAACAUCUCUCUGAAUUGGAUUGCUAGUGUGGAAUUUUGAUUAAAUGAAUACUCGCCAUGUUCAUGUAGUGAGUGCAUAAAAGCAUUGAUUAUGAUGUGAUGGCGCCUAAAUGGGAUUAUUUGUACACUCAAAUUAAAAAAAAUGGAUGCAUUCCGUGCAGUUCGCCAAAAGUUUAUAAUUGUAUUGUUACUCUCAAUUUAUGCGUUUAAUAUUUUAUUAUUUUUAUUUUUGUACGAUUGACAGACGAUUGUUGU
This is a non-coding RNA of Drosophila melanogaster (fruit fly), 495 nucleotides long. The record is from Ensembl. Lineage: Eukaryota; Metazoa; Arthropoda; Insecta; Diptera; Drosophilidae.